AUGUUCGCGUUGGUGGCUUUGUACCCCACACAACACGGCAUGUAACUCCGAGGCAACUUGGGGUUAUAUGGUCAAGCGAAUAAGCGCACACGGUGGAUGCCUAGGCGGUCAGAGGCGAUGAAGGACGUGGUAGCCUGCGAAAAGUGUCGGGGAGCUGGCAACAAGCUUUGAUCCGGCAAUAUCCGAAUGGGGAAACCCACUGCUUCGGCAGUAUCUUGCAGUGAAUUCAUAGCUGCUUGAAGCGAACCCGGUGAACUGAAAUAUCUAAGUAACCGGAGGAAAAGAAAUCAACCGAGAUUCCCUGAGUAGUGACGAGCGAACGGGGAACAGCCCUUAAGCUGGAAUGGCUUUAGAAAAACAAUCUGGAAAGAUUGGCCAUAGAAGGUGAUAGCCCUGUAUUUAAAAGGGCCACUCCAGUGAAGACGAGUAGGGCGGGGCACGUGAAACCCUGUCUGAAUAUGGGGGGACCAUCCUCCAAGGCUAAAUACUCCUGACCGACCGAUAGUGAACCAGUACCGUGAGGGAAAGGCGAAAAGAACCCCGGAGAGGGGAGUGAAAUAGAUCCUGAAACCGUGUGCGUACAAGCAGUAGGAGCUCGCAAGAGUGACUGCGUACCUUUUGUAUAAUGGGUCAGCGACUUACUGUUCGUGGCAAGCUUAACCGUAUAGGGGAGGCGAAGGGAAACCGAGUCUGAUAAGGGCGCAUAGUCGCGGGCAGUAGACCCGAAACCGGGUGAUCUAGUCAUGGCCAGGGUGAAGGUGCCGUAACAGGUACUGGAGGCCCGAACCCACGUCUGUUGCAAAAGACGGGGAUGAGCUGUGAUUAGGAGUGAAAAGCUAAUCGAACCCGGAGAUAGCUGGUUCUCCUCGAAAGCUAUUUAGGUAGCGCCUCGGACGAAUACUACUGGGGGUAGAGCACUGUUAUGGCUAGGGGGUCAUCGCGACUUACCAAACCAUUGCAAACUCCGAAUACCAGUACGUACUAUCCGGGAGACACACGGCGGGUGCUAACGUCCGUCGUGAAAAGGGAAACAACCCAGACCCACAGCUAAGGUCCCAAAUUCACUGCUAAGUGGAAAACGAUGUGGAAAGGCAUAGACAGCCAGGAGGUUGGCUUAGAAGCAGCCACCCUUUAAAGAAAGCGUAAUAGCUCACUGGUCGAGUCGGUCUGCGCGGAAGAUUUAACGGGGCUAAGCAGUGAACCGAAGCUUGGGGUGCGUAAAACUUCGGUUUUAUGCGCGGUAGAGGAGCGUUCCGUAAGCCUGCGAAGGUGGAUUGAGAAGUCUGCUGGAGGUAUCGGAAGUGCGAAUGCUGACAUGAGUAACGAUAAUGCGGGUGAAAAGCCCGCACGCCGAAAGCCCAAGGUUUCCUUGCGCAACGUUAAUCGACGCAGGGUUAGUCGGUCCCUAAGGCGAGGGCGAAAGCCGUAGUCGAUGGGAAGCAGGUUAAUAUUCCUGCACCUCGCGUGAGUGCGAUGGAGGGACGGAGAAGGUUAGGUGUACCGGGCGUUGGUUGUCCCGGGGAAAGGCGGUAGGUUUGGAUCUUUGGCAAAUCCGGGAUCCUUUAAGACCGAGCACCGAGACGAGCCUUUAUGGCGAAGUCACUGAUACCACGCUUCCAGGAAAAGCUCCUAAGCUUCAGCUCACGAAGACCGUACCGUAAACCGACACAGGUGGGUAGGAUGAGAAUUCUCAGGCGCUUGAGAGAACUCGGGUGAAGGAACUAGGCAACAUGGCACCGUAACUUCGGGAGAAGGUGCACCCUUUUUGGUGGCUCAUGCGAGCUAUAGCUGAAGAGGGUCGCAGAAACCAGGCCGCUGCGACUGUUUAUCAAAAACACAGCACUCUGCAAACACGAAAGUGGACGUAUAGGGUGUGACGCCUGCCCGGUGCUGGAAGGUUAAUUGAUGGGGUCAGCCGCAAGGCGAAGCUCUUGAUCGAAGCCCCAGUAAACGGCGGCCGUAACUAUAACGGUCCUAAGGUAGCGAAAUUCCUUGUCGGGUAAGUUCCGACCUGCACGAAUGGCGUAACGACAGCGGCGCUGUCUCCACCCGAGACUCAGUGAAAUUGAAAUCGCUGUGAAGAUGCAGCGUUCCCGUGGCAAGACGGAAAGACCCCGUGAACCUUUACUAUAGCUUUACACUGAACGUUGAGUUCGUCUGUGUAGGAUAGGUGGGAGGCUAUGAAACUGUGGCGCUAGCUGCAGUGGAGCCAACCUUGAAAUACCACCCUGUCGUGCUUGACGUUCUAACCUAGAUCCGUUAUCCGGAUCAGGGACCGUGUAUGGUGGGUAGUUUGACUGGGGCGGUCUCCUCCUAAAGAGUAACGGAGGAGCACGAAGGUACGCUCAGCGCGGUCGGACAUCGCGCACUGUGUGCAAAGGCAUAAGCGUGCUUGACUGCAAGAUCGACGGAUCAAGCAGGUACGAAAGUAGGUCUUAGUGAUCCGGUGGUUCUGUAUGGAAGGGCCAUCGCUCAACGGAUAAAAGGUACUCCGGGGAUAACAGGCUGAUACCGCCCAAGAGUUCAUAUCGACGGCGGUGUUUGGCACCUCGAUGUCGGCUCAUCACAUCCUGGGGCUGUAGUCGGUCCCAAGGGUAUGGCUGUUCGCCAUUUAAAGUGGUACGCGAGCUGGGUUCAGAACGUCGUGAGACAGUUCGGUCCCUAUCUGCCAUGGGCGUUGGAAGUUUGAGAGGGGCUGCUCCUAGUACGAGAGGACCGGAGUGGACGAACCUCUGGUGUUCCGGUUGUCACGCCAGUGGCAUUGCCGGGUAGCUAUGUUCGGAAGCGAUAACCGCUGAAAGCAUCUAAGCGGGAAGCGCGCCUCAAGAUGAGACUUCCCGGGGCACAAGCCCCCUAAAGGAACCAUAUAGACUAUGUGGUUGA
Molecule: ribosomal RNA, 2883 nt
Filed under: Xanthomonas campestris pv. campestris str. 8004
Lineage: Bacteria; Pseudomonadati; Pseudomonadota; Gammaproteobacteria; Lysobacterales; Lysobacteraceae
Description: bacterial LSU rRNA
Rfam family: Bacterial large subunit ribosomal RNA
Source: RNAcentral